CCAAGUGAUGGGGGCCCUGUGCAGGAAUCACGGUAAUCCCGAGGCCUCUGUUAUAACCAGAAGGUCAGAAGAAAUGAUGCUUUCUGUCCUCAAAAGCCUCCAAGUCCUUAACAUUGAGGCGCCCUUCCCACGGCAAUGCACGCUGUACUAAACUACCAUCGACACUCCUGAGGAUGAGCCCAACUCUGGAUGAGCAUCCCUCUGGACACUGCUUCCACCAGCUCAACGCAGUCGGGACUGGGAUCCUUGGGUCCAUGAGAGCAAGUGGAAAAAUCCAUCAGAUCAAGUGAUGGCUUGAAUCAGACGUUAAGAGGGCACCGUCUUCCCCCAAAGUACUUUAAUCAGCAUCAUCUCCCUGGCUGCCCACGAGGCCAGCUCUGUUUGCCCACUGCAGACCAGGUAACACCGUUCCCCGCUACUUCACUUGUCUGCUUUGAUCCCACAGAGCACAACCCCUCUUCUACGUGUUUGCACUGUGUUACCUCACUAGAUCUACCUCCAUAAAAUCUUUGGUGUUCCCACAUUGUUGCUGGUCCCCUCAGAGAUUUACUGCCAUUAAACCCCAGGCAUA
Long non-coding RNA from Cygnus olor (mute swan), 571 nucleotides. RefSeq lists it as uncharacterized. The record is from RefSeq and is a predicted model, not a curated record. Lineage: Eukaryota; Metazoa; Chordata; Aves; Anseriformes; Anatidae. The transcript has 3 exons.